RNAcentral lists this ribosomal RNA (254 nucleotides) under uncultured bacterium. Its description in RNAcentral is "partial 16S ribosomal RNA". It matches the Rfam family "Bacterial small subunit ribosomal RNA", at positions 524 to 776 of the family's 1533-position model. The record is from RNAcentral.
UACGGGGGGAGCAAGCGUUGUUCGGAUUUACUGGGCGUAAAGGGCGCGUAGGCGGUCAGCACAAGUCAGUUGUGAAAUCUCCGGGCUUAACUCGGAAAGGUCAACUGAUACUGUGCGACUAGAGUGCAGAAGGGGCAACUGGAAUUCUCGGUGUAGCGGUGAAAUGCGUAGAUAUCGGGAGGAACACCAGUGGCGAAGGCGGCUUUCUGGCCUGUUCUUGACGCUGAGGCGCGAAAGCUAGGGGAGCAAACGGG